Molecule: ribosomal RNA, 801 nt
Filed under: Loigolactobacillus coryniformis
Lineage: Bacteria; Bacillati; Bacillota; Bacilli; Lactobacillales; Lactobacillaceae
Description: bacterial SSU rRNA
Rfam family: Bacterial small subunit ribosomal RNA
Source: RNAcentral
GGCUAAUACAUGCAAGUCGAACGCACUGACGUCGACCGAAGCUGCUUGCAGUGGACGUUGAUUGACGUGAGUGGCGGACGGGUGAGUAACACGUGGGUAACCUACCCUUAAGUGGGGGAUAACAUUUGGAAACAGAUGCUAAUACCGCAUAACCAUUCAGACCACAUGGUCUGAAUGUAAAAGACGGCCUUUGGCUGUCACUUUUGGACGGACCCGCGGCGUAUUAGUUAGUUGGUAAGGUAACGGCUUACCAAGACAAUGAUACGUAGCCGACCUGAGAGGGUAAUCGGCCACAUUGGGACUGAGACACGGCCCAAACUCCUACGGGAGGCAGCAGUAGGGAAUCUUCCACAAUGGACGAAAGUCUGAUGGAGCAACGCCGCGUGAGUGAAGAAGGUUUUAGGAUCGUAAAACUCUGUUGUUGGAGAAGAACAGGGACUAGAGUAACUGUUAGUCCUUUGACGGUAUCCAACCAGAAAGCCACGGCUAACUACGUGCCAGCAGCCGCGGUAAUACGUAGGUGGCAAGCGUUGUCCGGAUUUAUUGGGCGUAAAGCGAGCGCAGGCGGUUUUUUAAGUCUGAUGUGAAAGCCUUCGGCUUAACCGAAGAAGUGCAUUAGAAACUGGGAAACUUGAGUGCAGAAGAGGACAGUGGAACUCCAUGUGUAGCGGUGAAAUGCGUAGAUAUAUGGAAGAACACCAGUGGCGAAGGCGGCUGUCUGGUCUGUAACUGACGCUGAGGCUCGAAAGUAUGGGGAGCGAACAGGAUUAGAUACCCUGGUAGUCCAUACCGUAAACGAUG